RNAcentral lists this transfer RNA (67 nucleotides) under Marmota monax (woodchuck). RNAcentral's name for it is "tRNA.Ala". The record is from RNAcentral. Lineage: Eukaryota; Metazoa; Chordata; Mammalia; Rodentia; Sciuridae.
GGUUGUGGCUCAGUGGUAGAGUGCUCGCUUAGCAUGCAUAAGGCACUGGGUUUGAUCCUCAGCACCA